This 253-nucleotide ribosomal RNA is filed under the name uncultured bacterium. RNAcentral's name for it is "partial 16S ribosomal RNA". It matches the Rfam family "Bacterial small subunit ribosomal RNA", at positions 524 to 776 of the family's 1533-position model. The record is from RNAcentral.
UACGUAGGGCGCAAGCGUUGUCCGGAAUCAUUGGGCGUAAAGCGCGUGUAGGCGGUUCGGUAAGUCUGCUGUGAAAGUCCAGGGCUCAACCCUGGGAUGCCGGUGGAUACUGUCGGACUAGAGUACGGAAGAGGCGAGUGGAAUUCCCGGUGUAGCGGUGAAAUGCGCAGAUAUCGGGAGGAACACCAAUUGCGAAGGCAGCUCGCUGGGACGUCACUGACGCUGAGACGCGAAAGCGUGGGGAGCGAACAGG